This 1154-nucleotide long non-coding RNA is filed under the name Olea europaea (common olive). RNAcentral's name for it is "long non-coding RNA (OEUR_LNC000255)". Lineage: Eukaryota; Viridiplantae; Streptophyta; Magnoliopsida; Lamiales; Oleaceae. The record is from RNAcentral.
GAUGUUCUGUUGAGAAGCCUUUUGUUUAUUCUUAAACGCGUCGAACCAAGUAAACGACACAGUAUUGAUGUGAUCCUUGUCGGGAGAAAUGGGGAACCUGGACUCGACUGCACAAAGGGCUUUAAAAUAACUUUGCAGGAGGUCACGGCGUGCGGGCAACGAAUCAGAGGUGCCUCGUUCAAUAUCUGAUCGGAACUCCUUAAGCGUCUGGAGAUCGUCCUCCAAAUUCUGGGCUUCGCGCUCCGAGUAAUUGAUGACUAUAAAGUUGCGAAGCGGCCUGUAUAUAUCUAGCGAAUUGGUUUUCUUCUCGAAGAUUGCGAGCAUGAUUUUGGUGGUCGACGCCGUCGAAGUCGCCAUCGUCGGUGGGCGGUGGUGUAUCGGAAUUGGGGGAUAAUUGAUCUUGGAUUAAUUUAUAAAGUGAUUUUUGUAUUAUGAAAAAUUGUAGUCAACGGGAGCUUUGGGUGAAUGAAAAUUUCAACCGGCGUUUAUUAUUUCUUUUCUUUUUUGUUAUUUUGUUUUGCUUAAUUGGGAAGGAAGGAGGAGGGGCUUUUGGGUACAUAAGAAUAAUAUAAAGUCUGAUCUAGUUGAGUAACAAAUAAAAUUUCAAUCACCCGUGGAGGCAGUGAGACGUGGAAGAAGAUGAUUUUUUAUUUUUAUUCCUUCGGGGAAAAAAAAUUUUUUUACUUAAAAAAACCAAAAAAAAAAAAAAAAAAAAAAAACCUUGUGUAUUCCUCCCAGACCAAGAAUAUAGCAUUUAAGUGGUCUACUAUAAAUCUAAAUAUAGCAUUUAAGUGUUCUACCUAAAUGGAUGUUCUGUUGAGAAGCCUUUUGUUUAUUCUUAAACGCGUCGAACCAAGUAAACGACACAGUAUUGAUGUGAUCCUUGUCGGGAGAAAUGGGGAACCUGGACUCGACUGCACAAAGGGCUUUAAAAUAACUUUGCAGGAGGUCACGGCGUGCGGGCAACGAAUCAGAGGUGCCUCGUUCAAUAUCUGAUCGGAACUCCUUAAGCGUCUGGAGAUCGUCCUCCAAAUUCUGGGCUUCGCGCUCCGAGUAAUUGAUGACUAUAAAGUUGCGAAGCGGCCUGUAUAUAUCUAGCGAAUUGGUUUUCUUCUCGAAGAUUGCGAGCAUGAUGUUGGUGGUCGACGCCGUCG